AUGCCUGCCACGUUGAUGCGCUGCCCCCUCCUACUCGGGCGGCACCCGGUGACCGCCCUCCGACACUCCUCCUCCUCCCGCAUGCGUCGUGUGCGCAGAGCCACGGGGGGUGGGAGCCAGGGGCGGCCACCGGCGUAUGGUGGGCUGCUACUCGAUGCUGGUGGCACGCUGCUGCAGUUGGCGCAGCCGGUCGCCAAGACAUAUGCAGCCCUCGGCCGUCCAUACGGUGUGAGGAAACCCGAAAAGUACAUCAUGGAGGGAUUCAAGCGUGCUUUCUCGGCGCCAUGGCCCAAGACGCUCAGGUACCAAGGUGAUGGGCGACCAUUCUGGAGGAUUGUCGUCGCGGAAGCAACUGACUGCACAAACAAUGAUUAUUUCGAAGAAGUAUAUCAGUACUAUGCACAUGGAGAUGCAUGGCGUCUACCUGAUGGAGCUUACAGAACACUGCGUGAUUUAAAAAAACCUGGAGAUGGCUCAUGUUAA
RNAcentral lists this ribosomal RNA (483 nucleotides) under Triticum aestivum (bread wheat). Its description in RNAcentral is "partial small subunit ribosomal RNA". The record is from RNAcentral. Lineage: Eukaryota; Viridiplantae; Streptophyta; Magnoliopsida; Poales; Poaceae.